UACGAACUGUGCAACCGUUAUUCGGAAUCACUGGGCUUAAAGGGUGCGUAGGCGGCUUGUUAAGUAGGGUGUGAAAUCCCAAGGCUCAACCUUGGAAUUGCGCCCUAAACUGGCGAGCUGGAGUGAGAUAGGGGUGUGUGGAACUUCCAGUGGAGCGGUGAAAUGUGUUGAUAUUGGAAGGAACGCCAGUGGCGAAAGCGACACACUGGGUCUCAACUGACGCUGAGGCACGAAAGCCAGGGGAGCAAACGGG
This 253-nucleotide ribosomal RNA is filed under the name uncultured bacterium. RNAcentral describes it as "partial 16S ribosomal RNA". It matches the Rfam family "Bacterial small subunit ribosomal RNA", at positions 524 to 776 of the family's 1533-position model. The record is from RNAcentral.